RNAcentral lists this long non-coding RNA (555 nucleotides) under Gossypium raimondii (Peruvian cotton). Its description in RNAcentral is "long non-coding RNA (GRAI_LNC005855)". The record is from RNAcentral. Lineage: Eukaryota; Viridiplantae; Streptophyta; Magnoliopsida; Malvales; Malvaceae.
CAAAUUACAAAUAAAAAAUAAAAUAAAAUAAAAUAAAUCUCUGCCAGUUUUGCUACACUCUUUUCAUUAUCAAAUUACAAAUAUAAUGUCUAAUUUUGUGAAAAUAAUAAUAUUUUUAAAAAAAAGAAAUUCAAAUGACCUGUUGGUGAAGUGAGAGAUUAGACAGAGUGGGAAGCCCCCAGUGAGUGGAGAAGAUGACAUUCAUGGCCAUGGGACUCCUACUUAAUAAUUCUAAACCUGCCUUCAUCAACCUUACAAUUGAUAAUGCCUUUAAACUCAACAUUAAUCUUAGCUUUAUGGAACGUGAUGAUGAUAACCGUAUUCCUCCGCUCAUUUUCUUCAGCCACCGCCUUCUCGGCCGCCGCCUUACUACCACCUUGUUCCCGUCAUUCUGCGGCUGCGGCGGCGGCGAUAGCAGCUUUUCGUAGCGACGGCAUUGCCUUGCGUGUCCCCGCAAAAUGCUUUCCAAAUGGAUUUGCCCCAUUGAAAUUAAUACACAAACAAAGAAAGAAAAAAGAAAUAACAAUGGAACUUGAAGUCUUCACUGAACUUCAA